GAUGAAGAACGUAGCGAACUGCGAUAAGUAAUGUGAAUUGCAGAAUUCAGUGAAUCAUCGAGUCUUUGAACGCACAUUGCGCCCCCUGGUAUUCCGGGGGGCAUGCCUGCCCGAGCGUCAUUGCUGCCCUCAAGCACGGCUUGUGUGUUGGGCCUCCGUCCUCCUCCCGGGGGACGGGCCCGAAAGGCAGCGGCGGCACCGCGUCCGGUCCUCGAGCGUAUGGGGCUUCGUCACCCGCUCUUGUAGGCCCGGCCGGCGCUUGCCGACACAUCAAUCUUUUUUCCAGGUUGACCUCGGAUCAGGUAGGGAUACCCGCUGAACUUAAGCAUAUCAAUAAGCGGAGGA
Molecule: unclassified non-coding RNA, 345 nt
Filed under: soil metagenome
Description: partial contains 5.8S ribosomal RNA, internal transcribed spacer 2, and large subunit ribosomal RNA
Rfam family: 5.8S ribosomal RNA (bases 1-120)
Source: RNAcentral